RNAcentral lists this non-coding RNA (23 nucleotides) under Mus musculus (house mouse). Lineage: Eukaryota; Metazoa; Chordata; Mammalia; Rodentia; Muridae. The record is from RNAcentral.
UAGCAAUGGCUGGGGCUGGUUGG